AAGCAGAAGCAGAAGAAGAAGAAGAAGAAGAAGAAAGAAGAAGAAGAAGAAGAAGAGAAAGAGAUUAGUAGAGACAAAUCUACAGUUACUAGGGCUCAAAAGAUGCUAUCCAUGUUCUGCAAUAUCAAAGGAUUCUGUGGCCUGAACUUAUUUCAUUUUAAAAAACGUGAAUGACCAAAGAAAGUAUAUAAGCUGGAAAACUAUGGACAAAAGCUAUUGGAUAGUGCCAAUCAUCCCUUUGGUACUCCGGUGCAAUUGAUAUCAGAGUGGACAGAAACACAAGUUGGUAUGUGGUUAUCAGGAUUUGGAAUGAAAACAUAUAUGAUGGAAUUUGAAUUAAAAAAUAUGAGAGGUGAAUGCCUCCUAACACUCGACACUAACCAGCUAAAAUGCCUCGGUGUCUACAAGAGGAAACACCGCAAGAAAAUACUUAAGCGUAUUGAGAGACUUCAAAUCCUAGAAGAUGCAAUAAAGAAUUUUAACAACGAAAUUUAUAAUAGAGAAGACAAAUGGAAAAUAUGACAAACAGAAAAAUAGAAUCAGCAGUAUAAUAUUUAUUUUAAUUUUAACCAUUCCACUUUCACCCAAAUAUUGUUUUAGCAGAGGAUAAGUCUACAUAAGUCCAAUACUUUUAAUAAUAUAGAUGAAAUAAUAAUAUGCAAUAUACUAUGUUUCUAAAUAAACUGAUUAUAACAUACUCAUGUGCUCUCCUUUUUAUGGGCUUUAGAUCUGAAAUUUCAUCAGUGUGUGUGAAAGGCAUAGUGCAAAAAGCAAACCUGUCCUCCCCUAAUCUAACAGAGAUUUUCAGUCUUUUUCAAUCAUGUCUGAACUUUGUGACCGCUCUCUAUAACGGCUUUGGAAAACUUGCCUUGAACAUAAAGUUGUUACUUGCUUAUAGUCAUAGAGUAUUUAAUAUAUGUUAGAUGCAGGACCUGAAUCUUGGUCUUCUUCUCCUCAAGUCCAAUUCUCUCUCCACGUUGCCAUGUUAAUUUUGCUUCAGAAUCUAUAUGUGAGCAAAAGAAAUAAAUGCAUACAUUUAUACACAUUAUAGAUUUUCUAUGAUAAAAAGUAUGUAUAUAUUGUCCAUGAGAACCUCCUCUUCUUCAUCUCCUUCAUUAACUACUUCUACUACCAUAGCUUCUCUAUAGUUUUUUGUGUCAUAAUUCAACCCUAACCCUAAUUGCGCUCAUGAGCUCUUAAAUAGUUUUACUUUCAUCAGCUUCUGUUAAAGAAUUCAGUUAAUUUUCCAUCAAAGUAUUUAAUUAAACAACCUCAUAAAAUUCCUCCAUAAACUCUCAGCUCAUUCUCUCACAAAUAUAUUUCAGUGGGAAAAGUGUACGUACUUAUAUAUGGGUCAUCUGUACAUGGGGAACAUAUAGCACACACACACACACACACAGAGACACAGUUUAUGCAUCUAAGAAAUCAAACCCUGAUGCAAAGUUUUUUGUUGGUGUGUGUAUUUGUUUUUUCGGUGAGGCAACUAGGGUUAAGUGGCUUGUGAGUGUGAUGUGUCUG
Phascolarctos cinereus (koala) is the source of this 1518-nucleotide non-coding RNA. The record is from RefSeq and is a predicted model, not a curated record. NCBI's taxonomy places the organism in Eukaryota, Metazoa, Chordata, Mammalia, Diprotodontia, Phascolarctidae.